AGCUCCAAUAGCGUAUAUUAAAGUUGUUGCAGUUAAAAAGCUCGUAGUUGGAUUUCGGCGAUGCGUACGGUGGUCCGCCGCAAGGCGAGCACUGCCGUGGUGUCGCUUUUUUUCUCGGCGCCGCCGUGUGCCCUUGAUUGGGUGUGCGGAUUCUGGAGCCGGGACCUUUACUUUGAAAAAAUUAGAGUGUUCAAAGCAGGCGUUUCGCUUGAAUAGAUUAGCAUGGAAUAAUGGAAUAGGACUUUGGUCUUAUUUUGUUGGUUUCUAGGACCGAAGUAAUGAUUAAUAGGGACAGUUGGGGGCAUUAGUAUUUAAUUGCUAGAGGUGAAAUUCUUGGAUUUAUGAAAGACUAACUACUGCGAAAGCAUUUGCCAAGGAUGUUUUCA
RNAcentral lists this ribosomal RNA (386 nucleotides) under uncultured eukaryote. RNAcentral's name for it is "SSU rRNA". It matches the Rfam family "Eukaryotic small subunit ribosomal RNA", at positions 587 to 972 of the family's 1831-position model. The record is from RNAcentral.